AAGACACUAGUAAAAGAACACAUUACACCGCCUUGUCAAGGCGGAAGUGUGGGUUAAACCCCCGCGUGUCUUG
Molecule: transfer RNA, 73 nt
Filed under: Sebastiscus tertius
Lineage: Eukaryota; Metazoa; Chordata; Actinopteri; Perciformes; Sebastidae
Description: tRNA-Asp
Rfam family: tRNA
About the family: Transfer RNA (tRNA) molecules are approximately 80 nucleotides in length. Their secondary structure includes four short double-helical elements and three loops (D, anti-codon, and T loops). Further hydrogen bonds mediate the characteristic L-shaped molecular structure. tRNAs have two regions of fundamental functional importance: the anti-codon, which is responsible for specific mRNA codon recognition, and the 3' end, to which the tRNAs corresponding amino acid is attached (by aminoacyl-tRNA synthetases). tRNAs cope with the degeneracy of the genetic code in two manners: having more than one tRNA (with a specific anti-codon) for a particular amino acid; and 'wobble' base-pairing, i.e. permitting non-standard base-pairing at the 3rd anti-codon position.
Source: RNAcentral